This 373-nucleotide ribosomal RNA is filed under the name uncultured bacterium. RNAcentral's name for it is "bacterial SSU rRNA". It matches the Rfam family "Bacterial small subunit ribosomal RNA", at positions 521 to 896 of the family's 1533-position model. The record is from RNAcentral.
UAAUACGGAGGAUCCAAGCGUUAUCCGGAUUUAUUGGGUUUAAAGGGUGCGUAGGCGGAACGAUAAGUCAGUGGUGAAAGCCUGCAGCUUAACUGCAGAACUGCCAUUGAUACUGUCGAUCUUGAGUACAUUUGAUGUGGGCGGAAUGUGUCAUGUAGCGGUGAAAUGCUUAGAUAUGACACAGAACACCGAUUGCGAAGGCAGCUCACAAAACUGUAACUGACGCUGAGGCACGAAAGCGUGGGUAUCAAACAGGAUUAGAUACCCUGGUAGUCCACGCUGUAAACUAUGAUUACUCGAUGUUUGCGAUAUACUGUAAGCGUCUAAGCGAAAGCGAUAAGUAAUCCACCUGGGGAGUACGCUCGCAAGAGUG